Molecule: ribosomal RNA, 468 nt
Filed under: uncultured bacterium
Lineage: Bacteria
Description: partial 16S ribosomal RNA
Rfam family: Bacterial small subunit ribosomal RNA
Source: RNAcentral
GACGAACGCUGGCGGCGUGCUUAACACAUGCAAGUCGAACGGAAAGGCCCUGCUUUUGUGGGGUGCUCGAGUGGCGAACGGGUGAGUAACACGUGGGUAACCUGCCCUUGACUUUGGGAUAACUUCAGGAAACUGGGGCUAAUACCGGAUAGGAGCUCCUGCUGCAUGGUGGGGGUUGGAAAGUUUCGGCGGUUGGGGAUGGACUCGCGGCUUAUCAGCUUGUUGGUGGGGUAGUGGCUUACCAAGGCUUUGACGGGUAGCCGGCCUGAGAGGGUGACCGGCCACAUUGGGACUGGGGUACGGCCCAGACUCCUACGGGAGGCAGCAGUGGGGAAUAUUGCACGAUGGGGGGAAGCCUGAUGCAGCAACGCCGCGUGCGGGAUGACGGCCUUCGGGUGGUAAACCGCUUUCGCCUGUGACGAAGCGUGAGUGACGGUAAUGGGUAAAGAAGCACCGGCUAACUACGUG